GAGAGUAAACAGUGCGUGAAACCGCUCAGAGGUAAACGGGUGGAGUUGAACUGCGAACCCCGAGAAUUCAACUGGUGAGUGUGGUAUGAGCUUGGCAUAAUGGUUGGCUUUGCGGGUCUGCUUAGCUGCAGGUCUUCACCUCUUGGUGGAGAUGCGCGAUACACUUGUCAAGUGGUGCGCGCUCGUUGAGUUACUCGGACAUGCUUGCCAGUGCACUUUCUCGGGGUGUUCACCACGACCGGCGCCGCUACUUGUCUAAUAUGGUUAAACCGGUCUUGCUUGGUCCUUGUGGCUUUGCUUGAUCGGGAUGGCAGGUAACUCGUUAACUUGUGUGUUGGCUUCGGUUGACAUGCGCUUGGUUUUCGAGUGUAAUCAGCUGACUGUAUUGGUGCUAUGUAGUGCGUCGGAGACGGCGGCUUGUGGUGUGUGCCUGCGUGCCUAUUUGCUGACGGAACCGGGUUUGGUUAUUUUGUUGCCUGUUCUGCAGGCCUGGUGAUGGCCCGGUUUCGCUUGGUGGAUGGGGGCGUGUGUGACACUUAUCAGGGCCUAUAGUCUGUGGUGUUGUGGUAGACUAUCCACCUGACCCGU
Molecule: ribosomal RNA, 588 nt
Filed under: Catatropis onobae
Lineage: Eukaryota; Metazoa; Platyhelminthes; Trematoda; Plagiorchiida; Notocotylidae
Description: partial large subunit ribosomal RNA
Source: RNAcentral